CCCUUAGAUGUUCUGGGCCGCACACGCGCUACACUGGCAGGUUCAUCGAGCUUCAUGUCCUGAUCUGAGAAGAACGGGAAAUCUUUGAACACCUGCCGUGCUUGGGAUAGAUGUUUGCAAUUAUUCAUCUUCAACGAGGAUUGCCUUGUAAGCGCACGUCAUCAGCGUGCAUUGAAUACGACCCUGUAUUCUGUACACACCGCCCGUCGCUCCUACCGAUUGAAGUUUUCGGUGAAUUUACUGGAGAUCCCUUUUGAAGGUGGUUCGCCACUGGAAGAAGUAUUCAAAAGUAAAUGAAUCGAAUGCUUUAGAGGAAGGAGAAGUCGUAACA
RNAcentral lists this ribosomal RNA (331 nucleotides) under uncultured eukaryote. Its description in RNAcentral is "partial 18S ribosomal RNA". It matches the Rfam family "Eukaryotic small subunit ribosomal RNA", at positions 1470 to 1796 of the family's 1831-position model. The record is from RNAcentral.